UCAACUGUGACAUGAAUUCUUCUAUACGUUGCCUAAACCAUUAAUCUAUUAUUCAAAAUUCUGCCAUUGAAAUUUUAGUGAUGGGUAUUGUUUUGUUAGAUGGUUUUUAAUUCAUAUAAUUGGGUUUAGUGAUGCCUAUUCUUCUACAUGAUUUGUAUAUGUUGCCUUUUUUGUUUGAUGAGUAUUGUUUUGUUGUUAGAAGUAU
RNAcentral lists this unclassified non-coding RNA (205 nucleotides) under Hevea brasiliensis (rubber tree). The record is from RNAcentral. Lineage: Eukaryota; Viridiplantae; Streptophyta; Magnoliopsida; Malpighiales; Euphorbiaceae.